ACUGGCCUAUUAAUUCAAAACUAGUUUCCUUACUAUGCAAGGAGCUUUACUAGGCAGUAAAAUGAAUACAAAGUUAAAUUUAGUAUGGGAGAAGAAAUGUUUGUAAAUAUCUGUAAUACAAAGAAUCAUGUUAAAAAAAAUAGCAUAGAAGAAAAACAGGUAACAUGGAGAUUUAGACCUUGAAAGGUUUGGGCAACAUUCUAACAGUCCAAGUUGGGUAAAGAAGUUUAAGGGGAAGAAAUAGUAUGAACAAAUACAUAGAGGCAGGAAAACUUGUAGCGUGUUUGAAGAAUGGUACAAGUACAGUUUCUCCGAAGUGUAGGGUUCUGAAAGUAGAUGGUGUUUGGAAGAUAACACUGCAAAGUGCAGGCAUGCCACAGAGAAAUGUCUUAGAUGUAGUAGAAAGAACAGACCCAUAUAAGAAGACUUGCAAUCAGGUUUUUCCCUUAUUUCUGGGUGAUGAUUUCUGCAACUGGAAAAUAGUAAUAAAUGUGCCCACCUCACAGUGACCUAUGAUGGUGUCUGUGUUUUCUAAACUGUAAAACACCAUGCAAAUACAAGAUACAGAUGUCCUCCUCCUCGUGGCACCAAAAUUCUGUGUGGCUUCCUUUUUCUCCUCCUCUCUCCCAAGUUUUUCAAAUGUGGCUUUUCCCACUGAGUUUACUGCUCCCUGCCCAUUUCCUGCCUUUGCUUAUUACACGGAGAACUGGCUCUCUGGGCAGUGCUCCCUAUGCCAGUUGGCAGACAAAGUCCUUAGAAGGCAGAUGCUCCAAUUCUGACAUCAUCACCAAAAUCUCUUCUAGUUUUCUGAGAAGAGCCCUCUCCUACCCCCAUCUUGCAAGGGAACUGGUACCUUUCUUUCCGUGGCUCUCUGUCCCUCCCACCUCAUUUUCCCUCUGAAGGAGGUAGUUCAUUCCCCACUGAGUUUGCCAGCAGGAACACCCUCUCAUUUCCUCCCUGUCUGCCUGCUUCUCCUUCUCCCCUUUCCUCCUCAUGUGAUCCAUGAAAGUUUUACAAAGGACUUUGACUCAGGCCAAGAGAAAACAAAAGAUUAGAAAAGAAGAGUCUAGUGAAUGCAUGGUUUGAUUUGAAAUACAUUUGCCACGUUGCCAGGAACAUUUUGACUACACAGCUUCUAGUUCCUUUGUGAAUUCUCAGAUAGCCCAGUCUGACUCCUUUUCUUUUUCUUUCCUGGGCCAAGGGAAGUGUGUCAUUUAUCAAUCAAACUGGGUAGUAGCAGUUGAAGAAGAGCUGUAACUGUCAUCCUAGCAUAGUUUAUAACAGCAGAAGAUUCAAAACAAGCUAAAUAUCAAUAUGGGGAUGGUUAUGAAAAUCACAAGGAAAUACUAUACAGCCAUUUUAAAAGAAUGUUUCAAAUGAAUAAUUAUUUACAAAAAGAUGUUCACAUAUUUUAUUUCAUAAAAGGGAC
This 1429-nucleotide long non-coding RNA is filed under the name Homo sapiens (human). Its description in RNAcentral is "HSALNT0301913". The record is from RNAcentral. Lineage: Eukaryota; Metazoa; Chordata; Mammalia; Primates; Hominidae.